UUGGAAAUGAAAUGAACAUGCCACCAGCUGCUCAGAGAGGUUAAAGCUGCUCUUGGACAGAAAUAAUUUUCACCAGUGGUAGUCCAUUAUGCAUACAUACCAAAAUACAUGGUACAACUCCUGAGGCAGACAGAAACAUUUAUAAAUGUUAUGGAACAAAAGGAUCGAGUCAAAAUCUGUCUGAGCUGGAGGCCGACCACAUAGGAGAAGAGCAUCAUAAGAGCGAAAAAGAAGCAGCACAC
RNAcentral lists this long non-coding RNA (242 nucleotides) under Chrysolophus pictus (golden pheasant). RNAcentral's name for it is "lncRNA (ENSCPIG00010004883.1)". Lineage: Eukaryota; Metazoa; Chordata; Aves; Galliformes; Phasianidae. The record is from RNAcentral.